CCACUAUUGAAAUCAAAAAUAUUCAUAUUACCAUUUCCAUUAUUCCCAUUAUGAGGAAAACCCAUAUCCAUCAUGUUCGAAUUUAAAAAGAAAUUCUCCUCUAAUAGUCUAUAGACGAACUGUCGAACUGUACAAGCAACCAAAGAACUCUUUGAUUUCUGGUGAUAAUUACUUCCAUGAUUUUUUGUUAAAUUCUUCUCAAAAUCCCUUCUUAAGAAAUAAUCAUUCAUUUUUAUACCAUUUGUUAAUGGGAAGUGUAACAUCGGAUAAUGAGUUGAAAUAUUUGCUGAAUGAAUCAACAUUCUUAUUGGAAGUCUGCAGAACGAAGCUUCUAAAAGAUUUCUGAAACGUUUCUUGUUAAGUAAUUGUCUAAUUAAAAUCAAAAUAUCGGAAAGUAUUGAAAAGGAUUCAGAAUCACAAUAUGAUUCUAAAAUUGCCAAUAAAAUGGUUGUUGUCAACUCUACACCCCAAACUGAGCUUGUAAAUAAUCUCUCAAUUUGUUGUUUAUUAAUCCUACUUGUAAAUUCUGUUCCUAGUAAAUAUUUUAUUGUAAUUACUACCCACCUUUGAUUUGAAAGUAGUUUUUGUGGUAUAAACCUUUCAUUAAUCUCAUUUUGUUUCAACUCAUCUUUAAU
This 635-nucleotide non-coding RNA is filed under the name Cryptosporidium parvum. The record is from RNAcentral. Lineage: Eukaryota; Apicomplexa; Conoidasida; Eucoccidiorida; Cryptosporidiidae.